This 30-nucleotide small RNA is filed under the name Bombyx mori (domestic silkworm). Its description in RNAcentral is "ovarian small RNA-37892". Lineage: Eukaryota; Metazoa; Arthropoda; Insecta; Lepidoptera; Bombycidae. The record is from RNAcentral.
UUGCUACUUGUAAAUUAUAGUUACUACUAU